GAUGAAGAACGCAGCGAAAUGCGAUACGUAAUGUGAAUUGCAGAUCUCUCAGUGAACCAUCGAAUUUUUGAACGCACAUAGCGCCCGCCGGUCAUUCCGGCGGGCAUGCCUGUCCGAGCGUCGAUGACGCCGCUCGAGCCCCCGUGCUCGGUGUUGGGGCGCUAGGUCUCCCAGAGGCCUAGGCCCCCAAGUAGCAGUGCGCGGUCCGGCUGCGGGCCCCGGGUACAGUAACUUCACUGUUGAGAUGCCCUGGGAGCCGCUGGCUGGGUCAGCCAUAAAACCCCCGACAUAGGCCUUCCUGUCCGCCCCCGGCGGGGAGGGAGACCGCCUAAUGUUGACCUCGGAUCAGGUAGGACUACCCGCUGAACUUAAGCAUAUCAAUAAGCGGAGGA
Molecule: unclassified non-coding RNA, 392 nt
Filed under: soil metagenome
Description: partial contains 5.8S ribosomal RNA, internal transcribed spacer 2, and large subunit ribosomal RNA
Rfam family: 5.8S ribosomal RNA (bases 1-123)
Source: RNAcentral